RNAcentral lists this transfer RNA (74 nucleotides) under Nitellopsis obtusa. RNAcentral describes it as "tRNA-Arg". It matches the Rfam family "tRNA". Rfam says of the family: Transfer RNA (tRNA) molecules are approximately 80 nucleotides in length. Their secondary structure includes four short double-helical elements and three loops (D, anti-codon, and T loops). Lineage: Eukaryota; Viridiplantae; Streptophyta; Charophyceae; Charales; Characeae. The record is from RNAcentral. RNAcentral also lists the same sequence under 1 other name.
AGGCUGAUAGCUCAGUGGAUAAGAGCAUAUAGUUCCGAACUAUAAGGUCAAGGGUUCAAAUCCCUUUCUGCCUA